GACGAACGCUGGCGGCGUGCUUAACACAUGCAAGUCGAACGGAAAGGCCUCUUUCGGGGGGUACUCGAGUGGCGAACGGGUGAGUAACACGUGAGUAACCUGCCCUUGACUUUGGGAUAACUUCAGGAAACUGGGGCUAAUACCGGAUAGGAGCUCCUGCUGCAUGGUGGGGGUUGGAAAGUUUCGGCGGUUGGGGAUGGACUCGCGGCGUAUCAGCUUGUUGGUGGGGUAGUGGCUUACCAAGGCUUUGACGGGUAGCCGGCCUGAGAGGGUGACCGGCCACAUUGGGACUGAGAGGCGGCCCAGACUCCUACGGGAGGCAGCAGUGGGGAAUAUUGCACAAUGGGUGGAAGCCGGAUGCAGCAACGCCGUGUGCGGGAUGACGGCCUUCGGGUUGUAAAACGAUUUCGCUCAUGACGAAGCUUUGUGUGACGGUAGUGGGUAAAGAAGCACCGGCUAACUACGUG
This 467-nucleotide ribosomal RNA is filed under the name uncultured bacterium. RNAcentral's name for it is "partial 16S ribosomal RNA". It matches the Rfam family "Bacterial small subunit ribosomal RNA", at positions 28 to 507 of the family's 1533-position model. The record is from RNAcentral.